AGUUCGGAUUGGAGUCUGCAACCCGACUCCAUGAAGCUGGAUUCGCUAGUAAUCGCGCAUCAGCCACGGCGCGGUGAAUACGUUCCCGGGCCCUUGUACACACCGCCCGUCAAGCCAUGGAAGCCGGGAGUGCCUGAAGUGCGUGACCGCAAGGAGCGUCCUAAGGCAAUACCGGUGACUGGGGCUAAGUCGUAACAAGGUAAC
Molecule: ribosomal RNA, 204 nt
Filed under: uncultured bacterium
Lineage: Bacteria
Description: partial 16S ribosomal RNA
Rfam family: Bacterial small subunit ribosomal RNA
Source: RNAcentral